AUAUCAGUAAGCGGAGGAAAAGAAACUAACUAGGAUUCCCUUAGUAGCGGCGAGUGAACAGGGAUCAGCUCAAAUUGUAAAUCUGUAGCUCACAGUUACAGAAUUGUAAUCUAUAGGUCUUUUAGGGAAGGCAUGUCUGUCGCAUAAGUUCCUUGAAAAAGGGCGUCAUAGAGGGUAAUAACCCCGUGUUAGGCGACAGUCGGCUGUACCGAAGGACUCCAAGAGUCGGGUUGUUUGGGACUGCAGCCCUAAAUGGGAGAUAAACUUCUUCUAAGGCUAAAUAUGUAUGGGAGACCGAUAGCGCACAAGUA
This 311-nucleotide ribosomal RNA is filed under the name uncultured eukaryote. Its description in RNAcentral is "partial large subunit ribosomal RNA". It matches the Rfam family "Eukaryotic large subunit ribosomal RNA", at positions 40 to 350 of the family's 3401-position model. The record is from RNAcentral.